ACAACUGUUUCUGUGCAUGUAGCAGGUUCUUGUGAUACACCUCCAUCACCAUCACAUGUUCGAAGAUCAAUGCCUGCUGCUCAUGUAUGAGCUACUUGUGGUUAUAGAGGGCAACCGAUCGCUGGCCAGAGUGAUUGCCUAUGCUAUGAAGUGCAGUCAAUGCAAAGAAGUUACUCUUGGGGGCAAAGAGGACAAUCUGGCAGGACAAAACUGAGCUCUGAACCUUUCGUAAUUCAGGCCACCCGACAAGAACCAGCACGUUCCCGUCUGACAAUGACGUUAACUGCCUUUGGAGCAGCAGAAACAACCACGCUAGCCAAGCAGCGCUGUCUGCCAGCCUCAGAGAUACACACAUCGGAGUAUUCCUUCAGACACCUGCCAACCGUGAUCCAUCCCCUUCUGCCUCCCCUCCAGUGUUUUUAUUCAGCAGUUGUCACCAAGUCAAUGUGACGUGAAACAGGAGGGAGGAGAGGACCGUAUUCUGCCUAACCUGUUUGGUGUAUCCAUUGCUGUGACUGUACAGGAUAACUACAGCACGUUCUUCUUUCCAUCCUGCUGCUGCUUCUCUGAUCUUUGCUGUACAUCUUAGUAUCUGUUUAGCUGGAAACAAAUAAAUAGUUG
This 621-nucleotide long non-coding RNA is filed under the name Anser brachyrhynchus (Pink-footed goose). Its description in RNAcentral is "lncRNA (ENSABRG00000003458.1)". The record is from RNAcentral. Lineage: Eukaryota; Metazoa; Chordata; Aves; Anseriformes; Anatidae.